CCUACGGGAGGCAGCAGUGGGGAAUAUUGCACAAUGGGCGAAAGCCUGAUGCAGCCAUGCCGCGUGUGUGAAGAAGGCCUUCGGGUUGUAAAGCACUUUCAGUUGUGAGGAAAGGGGUGUAGUUAAUAGCUGCAUUCUGUGACGUUAACAACAGAAGAAGCACCGGCUAACUUCGUGCCAGCAGCCGCGGUAAU
Molecule: ribosomal RNA, 194 nt
Filed under: uncultured bacterium
Lineage: Bacteria
Description: partial 16S ribosomal RNA
Rfam family: Bacterial small subunit ribosomal RNA
Source: RNAcentral